This is a long non-coding RNA of Carlito syrichta (Philippine tarsier), 575 nucleotides long. RefSeq lists it as uncharacterized. NCBI's taxonomy places the organism in Eukaryota, Metazoa, Chordata, Mammalia, Primates, Tarsiidae. The transcript is spliced from 2 exons. The record is from RefSeq and is a predicted model, not a curated record.
CCUCGGCGGCUUCGGAGGACGGAGGCGUCCCCGGGGCCCCGACCUUCUAGACACACAACCCGGCUGAGCCUCUCGCUCUCCACCGGCAUGGAAGCAGCUCAGAUGCACAGAAUUGCCCCAAGCUAUUCAUGGACUUCUACAUUUCCGUAUGAAGUUCCUCAGAGCAGUCCUGCUUUUGAUUGGCAUUACAUUGAAUUUAUAGACUUCUUUUGUUAGAAAUGAGAUCUUUAUAAUGUUUACUUGUGCCAGCUCUGUUUAGGUCUUCUUUCAUGUCCUAUUACAGAGAUUUUUCUUUUUCUUCCAAAAUGUCUGAUAGGUUCUUUUUUAAAGUUGAUUCUUGGCUAUUUUAUGAUUUUUCUGUAUACUUCUUUUGUAAAUGACAUCUUAUUUUCUCUGUAUUUUAUAGUUGAUUAUUGUAUAGAAGAACUCUAUUCAUGUGUGUAUGUUAAUCUUAUGUCUAGCAACAUUGGUGAAUUCUGUUCAUUUCCAACAGUUUAUCUAUUGAUCUGCUGUGUUUCCUGUGUAAAUGGUUAUAUCAUCUACAAAUAAUGACAGUUUAAUCUCUUCCUUUUCAA